AGAGUGAACGCUGGCGGCAUGCCUAACACAUGCAAGUCGAACGGUAACAGGCCCGCAAGGGUGCUGACGAGUGGCGGACGGGUGAGGAAUACAUCGGAAUUUGCCCUGUCGUGGGGGAUAACGUAGGGAAACUUACGCUAAUACCGCAUACGACCUAACGGUGAAAGCGGGGGAUCGCAAGACCUCGCGCGGUUGGAUAAGCCGAUGUCAGAUUAGUUAGUUGGCGGGGUAAUGGCCCACCAAGACAGUGAUCUGUA
Molecule: ribosomal RNA, 257 nt
Filed under: uncultured bacterium
Lineage: Bacteria
Description: partial small subunit ribosomal RNA
Rfam family: Bacterial small subunit ribosomal RNA
Source: RNAcentral